Pyrgilauda ruficollis (rufous-necked snowfinch) is the source of this 1004-nucleotide long non-coding RNA. RefSeq lists it as uncharacterized. Lineage: Eukaryota; Metazoa; Chordata; Aves; Passeriformes; Passeridae. The transcript is spliced from 3 exons. The record is from RefSeq and is a predicted model, not a curated record.
UUCCAGUCAUUUUUCUAAGUGCGUCAUUUAAAAUCACACUCGGUUUCGGUUCUCACCACGAGCCCAGGCCGAGCCCGGGCCGCGCUCGGGGCGGACGCUCCGGCUUUGGGCCGCCUGUGCUGAAAGCGCACGGUGGGAAGGGAAGCGUGAGGGAAAGGAGCGGAGAAAGGAGCGGGGGAAGGUAGAACGCACCCAGACGCGUCGGGGAGGUCUCUACAGCAAACAGCCAUCUGAAAUUCAGUACUCCCUAGAAAGUUGUCUGGGAACCAGACAGAAAACAAGCAUGAUUCAAAGUAAAGCCUUUUCCGUGAAGACUCCUGGAACCGUUUGCUCACGCAACUUUUCCCUUACAGAAGGGCCAGACUACCCAGCACAAGACAUUUGAUAUUUUUAUUCCCCAAGAUGAAAGGGUGGUUGAACAAAGUACUGCAUAAUUCAUGAUGUGGGUGAAAUACAUUAAGCCCUGUUUUAACAGCUGCCUAAAUAUCUAAAAAGGAGGAGAUACUCAUUGUAGAGUGACAGCAUGAGAAGUAAAAAGCUGAUUCUCCAUGAUGUCGUUCACAGUUGACUGCAAUUCCACCCUGUAUACAUGUACAUUUCUUCUUUCCAAAUAAAGGCCUCCUGCUGUAUGUGAGGAAUGCUAUUCCUACUCAGAAUGUCAGUGCAAGUUCCAUCAUCUUCCUCAAGACCUGAACACACAAUCUCUUUGCAGAGAAGGACAGGAUUAUUCACAUGUGCAGACCUAAUACUACUUAGGUGUUUUGGUAAAUGAGGUGUUGGUCACUGUGCCUGAUCUGUGUCAGCAUGAAACAUCACAAAGUGCAAGGCUGCCUCCCAAGGUGUGGACACUGGUCAAGGUGAUGCAAGGUUUGACUUUCACGCAAAAAGUAAAUAAAGACUUUACUGAAAUUCUGAUAAUUUUCACUGCUUUUACUGAAGAGUUACCUACAAUGACAAGGUCUGGUUGAUGCCACCAGUUGCCACAUGAAGAUGAUUUUUGAGGC